RNAcentral lists this long non-coding RNA (10669 nucleotides) under Musa acuminata (dwarf banana). RNAcentral describes it as "long non-coding RNA (MACU_LNC001129)". Lineage: Eukaryota; Viridiplantae; Streptophyta; Magnoliopsida; Zingiberales; Musaceae. The record is from RNAcentral.
CCAAGCACGGCAUCCUCCGCGCCAUCGAGCUCGGGUACCGCCACUUCGAUACCGCCGCCAUCUAUCAGUCCGAGGACGUUCUCGGCGAGGCCAUCGCCGAGGCCUUGCAGGCCGGCCUCAUCCACUCCCGUGCCGAGCUCUUCAUCACCUCAAAGAUCUCGUGCGCCGACGCUCACCGUGACCUGGUCGUCCCCGCCAUCCGCGAGUCUCUCAGGUGAAGAAGAAGAAUAGCUUCAUGCUCCUCUUUUACUGCUUUCUUCUGCUUCGAGUUGAUGCAAAUUACGGGGAUUAACAUUGAUUUCCUGUCAUAAUUUUGUGAUUUGAUCUCUGUAAUUGGAGCUUCUGAAAGCGUAUCGAAUUUUUCCUCUUGGUGUUAGGAAUCUCAAAUUGGAUUACCUUGAUCUCUACCUCAUACAUUGGCCCAUGAGAUUGAAGGCUGGAGAAUCCUAUCCUCCUAUAGAGAGCCACCACAUUCUCCCCUUCGACUUGAAGUCUGUUUGGGAAGGCAUGGAGGAAUGCCACAGGUUGGGGUUGGCUAAGCAGAUUGGUGUUAGCAACUUCACCACAUGGAAGCUUGCAGAGCUGCUCCGAUAUGCUAAAGUACCUCCUGCUGCUGUCCAGGUAGUCUGAUUUCCCUUUACCUUUCCAUGAUUAUUGUUGGAUGUUCUGUGUGAGUCAUAGUGAAAAGGGACGAUUUUGCAGGUGGAGAUGAAUCCAACCUGGCAGCAGAAGAAGCUGAGGGAGUUCUGCAAGGAAAAGGGUGUUCAUGUCAUUGCCUAUUCUCCUUUAGGAGGCCAAGAUAUGUUCGUGGGCAAGAACUUAGUGAUGGAGUCCCAAGUGCUUAAAGAGAUAGCCAAGGCAAAAGGAAAGACUCUGGCUCAGGUUGCUCUCUUAAGAACUACUUCAUCCUGUUAGUAGAUUAAAUCAAUACUGGUAUAGGAUUAUUCAAGUUGGUCAUGAUAACAGAUGUAAUUUCCAAGUUCAGCUAUUAUUUCACUAGAAUAAAAUUAAAAAAUUGUUCUUGAAAUUAAGUUGGAUGGUUGUCAUGAUAAGAAAACAAUAUGAUCCCAAAUCAUUUGCUCCCUUUUGUCUUUUUGAUAAAAUUUCAAACCACUAGUUAAUCAUUUGAAAAGGAAAUCAACAUUAGGGCUUAUAUUUCUAUUCUCUGCUCAAGAAAAAGGAUCACUGGAACUUGAUUACAGGGUAGAAUCAAUUCCUGAUGCCUUCAUGCUUAAUUCAAGUUUUUGAUGCUAGAUAACAUAUGGCACUGAUUUAUAGUUCAAAAGUUAUUCAUCUCAUGUAAUGUUUGUUGUAUGUACUAACAAUUAGAUUGAACUUUAUCUUGUAAAUGAGCAAGAUAUUAUGACAUAUCGGAGAACCUUUCAUUAACUUGAUUGAUCACCAGAAACUGUAGGUGGUCAAAUGUUACUAUUUUUAAUCUCUUACGAAACAGAUCAAAACACUUUGGGCUACAAUGAUCAUGGAAACAAGAGAAUUAUAAACUAGUGGUAACCAGCUGACCUGUGUGGUACUAAAACUCGCAUCUGAAAGGAAUGGGGAAUGGUGUCCAUCAAAUCAUUGCAACUUAAGAGUUUCUUUAUUCUUUCAAUCUCAAUUAGACAAAAACAAACUUUCCUCAGAAAAGAAAAAAAAAAAAAUCAAACCAACUUAUUCGACGAUACCGCUUGUUUUGUUUAUCUUUUUUUCUCUUUUAUUUUUUUGCUGCAUGUCAGAUUUUGUGGCAGAUUAGCUGUAUGAUAUGCAUUGUAGAAUGAGAGGCCCCGUAGAAUUUAAAUCAUAGUGCAUCAACAGACUGUGUUAAUCUAGCUAUGAACUUGAGCUUGAUGGUUCUGUUUUCAGGUAUCCUUGAGAUGGGUUUAUGAGCAAGGAGCGAGUAUGAUCGUAAAGACCUUGAACAAGGAGAGAAUCGAGGAGAACAUGAAAAUUUUUGAUUGGGAGUUGAGUGAAGAAGACAAACACAAAAUUAGUCAACUCCCCCAGUGCAAGAGAGUCACACUGCGUGCAAUGCUCUCAACAGAAGCGGCUUCCAAGCUACCUGAUGAAGAUGAGGUCGUUGAAGAAUAAAGGAGUCGGUGCUAUUAGAUCUCUUAAGACGAUUUCAGUACUUAACCACUACAUCUAUGAUAUUUGAUGAAUACAGAUCUGCUGCAGGAAUUAAUAGCUACUAUAUCUCUACCUGUUUGUGUUCGGGCUGUAUGCAGUGAGUUGAUCUAUGGAUUUAGCGACAAUCCAAUGCUUAUGUUUUUCCUUUUCUUUUCUUGUUUUUAGGAUACUUGUGUUAUGCUGUGUUGGCCAAAGGAAUAAGAUGAAGAAGUAUUUUUAUUAAUAAAUGUGGUGAAAGAUUGAGAUAUGGAAUAUAUUUGGUCCAAUAUUUUUUUCAAAAAUACUGUCCAAGAAAAAGGAAAAAAAAUUUGUAAGAGCAGUUCUUUUUCUAUUGGAAUAAAUUAUUUUGGAUGAUUACACUAUACGGUUCCAAAAAAAAAUUACAUCAUAAUCUUGCAUCAUGAUGAUGGUCUAAACCCCUUAAAAUUUCUAUAUUAACCUAGAACAAGAAAAAAAAUUGCAAUUAAUCUUCCAGAUACAAAGCUACACUCAAGGAGAUGAAUUUGAGUUGAAAAAUAAAAUAGAAAAAUGAACCUAGAAAAGGAGCAAUAUAUUGAAUAAAUCAAACAAGAACAUUUGAUCAUCAUAUUGGAUCUGUUUGCAGUUCUAAAAUCACAUACAAAUUGUUCAAAUUAAGCCUCCCAAGAAGCAGUGAUGGAAGAAGCCAUAUUGUUCUGCUCUAUAAAACCAAACCACCUCCAAAUUUGAAGCUCAAAAUGAAUACAAAAUAAUACAUCAGAGCACAAGAAAUUGUUUCCGCACGUGUCCAAUCUUAAAGUCUAACGAUAUUAGCAGCCUAAUCAGAUUCUAAACUACUAUAUACAGAAUACCGAAAGAUUGUUGCCGAUGUCAGCUAUAUACAGAAUCCUAAUCAGCUAGAGUCUUAACAUCCAAAUCUACUCAUCCAAAUCUACUCGUAUAGUGAUUUUAUAGUCUUGAUGAUGUAUCUGGUCCUUAGACUUGAGAUAUCAAAAAUGUCCUGUACGAGUACUCCACUCUUUCAUAACGAAUUUAUAGGUCUGUAAGUUUCAGAUCUAAUACUACCGAUCAUCGGGAGUGGUAACCAACCUUACGAGAGCUAUUGAGUAUCAAUAGAGAAUCAUCUUGCUCAAACAAAUCCCUGGUCAAUGUCAUUGGGAUUCAGAGAGAAAUACUACCAAUCAUCGGGAGUGGUAACCAACCUUACGAGAGCUAUUGAGUAUCAAUAGAGAAUCAUCUUGCUCAAACAAAUCCCUGGUCAAGGUCAUUGGGAUUGAGAGAGAAAGAGUUCUCUAGGAGAAUCCGAUUAGAACAAGACUCACAGCUAGCUUGAUAUUGGGCCUAUAAGGUCUCAUACAUAUGGUAUGUAUUACGAUGAGUAGAGAUUCGAAUUUGAGAUAUCCGCUAGAGCCCCUAUCUUAUUGGAUAUCCAAUAAGCUCAUGAAUUAUUGGAUCCUUUGAAUAAAAUCCAAUAAGAACCAAUAAGAGAUUAUUGGGUAGAGACCCACUAAUCUAAGAGACUUGGGUAAUUGGAUGGAGAUCCAGUACCAAAUAUGAUAGGAUCCAUUAGGGUUAAGUUGACAAAAGGCCUCUAUAAAUAGGAGAGAACCAAAGAGCAAUGGGCUAGGUUUUUUUUAGAUGCCACCUCCUAUUCUCCUCUCUCCCUCUCCUCCAUAUAUUGCAACCCCUAUUUAGGGCGUGUGGACAACAAGAAGGGGUAACCCAUUCUUAAUUGCGUGGUGAGCGCGAUGAGGAGUUUUGGGCAACGACUUGAGGAGUAUAUUCGCAACCCCUGCCAUAUGGAUCACCACUAGAGAGGAGGGCAUUUGAACUUCAUCUAAUCCCAUAGAUCUGUAGGAAUUCAUGAAUAUACAAUCUCUAUACGUAAUUCUCUUACGCAUGGUUUUUCGGUUUCCUGGGUUUUUGUGCACCAACUUUUGCAUGACGAUAAGAAAUAAUUUUCUGUAGGAGUUCUAGGAUUUUUAUUUUCUAUUCUUCCGAUGCAUAUAUGAUGUCACUCUAGAUUUUCCAACAGAUUUGUCUGAGCAAAAAUACAUGGGAUAUUCCUCUCAUAAUACCGAGAGCGGAUAAUCCUCUAUCGACACUUAAUGACUCUUGUAAGGUUGGCUACCACUCCCGAUGACCAUCUGUGCUAGAUUUGAAACUUCUAGGCCUAUAAGUCUAGUAUUAAGGAGUACUCAUACAGGACAUCCUUGGUGUCUCAAGUAUAAGGAUCAGAUACAUCACUAUGACGAUAGAAUCGUUGUCUGACAAUAAGCAUCAUCAACUAUCCAGCAUCCCGUGAGUGGUUCAAUCAGUGAACUUAUUCUCAAAUGAGCACAUGCACUAUAUCUCUAGUGUCUUCACACGAGCAGCUAUGAGACCAAUUGCCUCCAUCAUAUGAACAAGUAUACAAUACACUAGUUUGUCCAAUUAUCUCGAUGUCCCUCUCGAGUACCCUAUGACCAGGAUUAUUUAGGGUCUGUAUUUAAAGAUAAAUCGGUCUCAUUAUCGUGAUCUCAUCACGAUCUAUUUCUUAUUACAUAAAUCCAUGGACAUUAUAAUAUAUACAUAUAAUAAACAAUAUAAAGUGAGAAAAUGCUAGAAUAAUAAUAAGCAAAAAAACUUUGUGUCAUAUCACACGUGUCAUCACUUACGUGAUUGACUUGUAAGACACCUAUGACUAGCACUAAGCUGCUACGCCAUAGUCCCUAGACGAUAUUAGAGAUCUAAUCUAUCGGAUAUUUCUAUCCUUGGUUACCAUGUAUCUAUAGUCCAUCAUUCAUCUAAUAUCGUAGAUAUCGUAUAUUGGGCAUGGUAAUGUCAGACCCAUACGGAAUCGUGUCAGAGUUUCACUCUAAUCGGAUUCUUCCAGAGAAUUUCUCUCUCAAUCUGAGCGACCCUAGCUUUGGAUUUUAUUUGAGCGAUUACUCAUGGGAUAUUUCUCUCGCGAUACCGAGAGUGGAUGAUCCUCUAUUGACACUCAUUUGCCUUCGCAAAGUUGGUUGUCAUUCCCGAUAACCAGCUAUACCAGAUCUGGAACUUGCAAACCUGUAAAUUCAGCAUCAAAGAAUAGAGUACUCAUACAAGACAUAUUCGGUGUCUCAAGUCUAAGGAUCAGACAUACAAUUUGGACUAUGUAAUCAUUCUCUUACAUCGGGUAUCAUUAACUAUCCAACAUUUUAUAAGUGAAUCAUUGUACCUCUAGUCUCCCCACACGGGUGACUAUGAGAAUAUCCACCUCCAUCAUAUGAACGAGUAUAUAGCACACUAGUCUGUUUAGUUAUCUCGAUGUACCUCUUGAGUUUCCUAUGAUCGAGAUUAUUUAGGAUCUGUGUUUAAAAGUGAAUUGGUUUCAUUAUUGUGAUCUCAUCACGAUUCGAUUUUCAUUGCACAGAUCCAAGAAUAUCAUAGUAUACAUUCAAAUAAUAUAUAAUAUGAAAAAAUACCAACAAUAAUAAGCAAAGAGAUUGUCGCAGCAUGUCACAAGUGUCAUGACUCACAUGAUUGAUUUGUAUGGCAUCUAUAACUAACAAAUGCUACUUUCGUACAAUAAUAUUUAGAUAAAAAAGAAAAUGAAACAUAUUUUGUAUGUAUCGAAUCAAACGUUACAUAAGUCUCUUCUAACAUGUCUGAUGCUCCGGUUUAUAUUACAAAUAAUGUGCAAUGCUCGUUUUAACUCAAAAAUCGAAAGAAUAUGUAAGAUUGGUUAUUAUAAUUAAUUCUCUUAAAGUGAAAGUGAUAAUAACAUGUACUUAUCAUCGAUACUUAGAUAUGAUUUAUUUAAUAGAUCUUGACGAUUCAUGUUAUAUUUUAUAAUUCUAGUUAUUUGGUUUUCUUAUCUAGAUUUGUUAGGAUAUGUCUUAUUUUGGUGUUGAUAAACUUAGUGUAUUUAUAAUGUAAUAAAAAUUGAUUAUGAAAUUUUAUAUAAUUUUAUAAAAUUCUAGAUAUUAAAUACUCGAAGUUUCAAGAACUUUUAAAAUUAUAUAUACUUACAUUUAUGAACCACUUCAUGUAUCCUAUUUUAUGGAGAAUAUUUUAUUAUUUUUAUAGAUGACUUAUUGAAAUAUGAUAAUAUAUAUUUAUUUCAUAUAAAAUCUCUCACACCUUUAUGUAUAUAUAAAUAAAGUUAAUAGAUAAUUAAAUAAAAAGGUUAAAAUAAUUAGAUUUGAUGGGAGUGAUGAAUUUUAUAUUAAAUAUGAUGAGUCAAAUCAAAAUUAUUAUCUAUUAGUUAAAUUUUUAGUAAAUCGAGAUAUUUAUGCUCAAUAUUUAUUUCUAAGAGUGCCACAAUACAAUAGUAUUACUAAAAGGCAUAAUGAUCCUCAUAUGAUUAGGAGUAUAAUUAGUUUUUAAGUACUUGAUUCAAAGUAGGAUGAAACUCUUAAAAAUAUUAUAUAUAUCUUGAAUAAUAUCAUUAGUAGGUCAAUUCUAUCAACUCCAUUCAAGUUAUGAAUUUGUAGAAAACUUAGCUUAAGACAUUUACAUAUUUGAAUGGAUUUGUAGAAAACUAAGCUUAAGACAUUUACAUAUUUGGGAUUAUCAAGUAGAAAUAAGAGUAACCCAUAUGAAAAAAUAAAAGAUCUAAGAACUAUUUCUAAAUAUUUUUUUGAUUAUCUAAAAAAUUUAAAUAAUAUAAAUUUUAUUAUCCUAACUAUAGAUUGAGAAUAGUUGAGUCCGAUAAUAUAAUAUUUUUUUUUAAAUCAUGAAUUCAAUAUAAGUGAAAAACUCAAAGAUUUAAUAAUGAGAAGAUAUUAGUUAAUACUUCUUUUAUCAUUUCAUAUGAAAGAAGUUAGUCGUUAAAUUACUAAACAAAUAAAAGAAAACGAACAACAUAAUAGCAUCGAUGAACUUGAUCAACUUGAUGAAAAGAUCAACCACAAAUGACACCUUUAAGAAAAUCUUAAAUAGAAAAAAGACAUGUCAAAAUAUGGUAUAUAUAUAUAUAUAUAUAUAUAUAUAUAUAUAUAUAUAUAUGAAUAAAAAAUGAUCAUCAUUUUCAUAUACUAUAAAGAGUAGAGAUUCUAAGAAAUGAUACGAUAUAAUAAAAAAGAGUCAAAAUCGAUAGACUAAAAUAUUAUUUGGGAUAUCAUUAAAUUUUUAAUAAUUAUAAAAGAAUCGAUUAUAUUUAAUUCUGUAAGAUUAAACUUGAUUUAAAGGAUAAUAUCGAACGAUAUAAAACAUGAUCAAAAAUUUUAUUUUAAAAGAAGACAAUAUCCAUAACAAAUUUUUUUAUUUUUUUAAGAUAUGGGUUAUGUCAAAUAGAUAUGAAAAUAUUUUUUUUAAAUAGGAAUUUAGAUGAAAUCUAUAUGAAAUAAGGGUUCACAAAAAAAAAGAAAAAGUAAAUAUUUGGUUUGCAGAGUUAAGAAAUUUAAUUAUGACUUUAAGCAAACUUUUCAAACAAUAGGAUAUAAAAUUUUAUGAUAUUAAUUGUUGGUGUAAACAACUUUAAGUCGUGGCCUCGGGGCCAACGCGGCUUGGUUCGGGUCCGGAUGAUGAGGGAUCUUCCCGGGACAACCCUUGAGACCGCUAAGGUGGUCGGCCGCAGUGGUCCGAUCGGGAUGGGGUCACCGUUUCCUCCGAGAGGGGGCUCCUCGCCUGGGCGUCUAACGGGAGGCCUUCGUCUUGGCACCUGCACACAGGUCAGGUCGGGAGAGCUCGACCCAACCCCUCCGAUGUUCAAGUUAGUGAAUAGUCGUAGGGGGUUUAUUGGUUGUUCUCCUCCUUCCCUUCCCGUUUAGAAUGCGAGGGUAUUUAUAGGGAAGCUUACUGUGCCAGCUUACAGGGGGCAGGCUCGUACUCCUGGUAGCAUCUGACAGCGGUGUUGGCGUGGUGUGAAGGAUUGGGCCUAAGCAAGACGUUAAUGCGCCUCGGCCGACGUUCUGGUCCGUUUGACCAGGUGUUGUCGGGUCGAUCGAGGCGUGAGGCGUCAUCUGGGGCAGCUGACGUCAGCCCGAAUCUUGUCGCCAUUAUUAUCCUCAUCAUAUUCCCCCCCGGAAAGAAGCUAUGCGUCGAUCGUUGUAACGGGAGUCCGAGGCAUGGCUUCAGCUUUCAGUAUUUGUUCCUACCGUGCGUUUUACCGGUCCGUUGCCAGGAGUGUGGGAAUCGUGGAGUUUAGCAACUAAGAAGGGUUGGAUGUGCAGCGGUGACCCCGGGUAGUGUGCGGCCGAGGAGCACGGAGCACGACGCAGGCGGGCAGGCCGCGCAGGCGUGGUCUCGGGGAGCAUGGAGCCGAGGAGCACGACGCAAGCGGGCUGGCCGCGCAGGUGUGGUCUCGGGCAACAUGCGGCCAAGGAGCACGACGCAGGCCGCGCAGGUGUGGUCUCGGGCAACACACGGCCGAGGAGCACGACGCAGGCGGGCAGGCCGCGCUGAGGUGGACUCGGGUAGUCUACGGUCGAGGGACACGGCUCAGACGGGCAGGCCGCGCUGAGGUGGACGCGGGUAGUCUACGGCCGAGGGACACGGCUUAGGCGGGCAGGCCGCGCUGAGGUGGACUCGGGUAGUCUACGGCCGAGGGACAUGGCUCAGGCGGGCAGGCCGCGCUGAGGUGGACUCGGUUAGUCUACGACCGAGGGACACUGCUCAGGCGGGCAGGCCGCGCUGAGGUGGACGCGGGUAGUCUACGGCCGAGGGACACGGCUCAGGCGAGCAAGGCGCACUGAGGUGGACUCGGGUAGUCUACGGCCGAGGGACACGGCUCAGGCGGGCAGGCCACGCUGAGGUGGGCUCGGGUAGUCUAUGGCCGAGGGACACAGCUCAGGCGGGCAAGCCAUACUGAGGUGGACUCGGGUAGUCUACAACCGAGGGACGCGACUCAGCUAUGAGCUUGUCAGGUCGGGUCGGGCGAUCCCCUGACAUUCGGGCCCUCCUUCUAGCGCCAAAAUGUUGGUGUAAACAACUUUAAGUCAUGGCCUCGGGGCCGACGCGGCUUGGUUCGGGUCCCAAUGAUGGGGGAUCUUCCCGGGACGACCCUUGAGACCGCUGAGGUGGUCGGCCGUAGUGGUCCGAUCAGGACGGAGUCACCGUUUCCUCCGAGAGGGGGCUCCUCGCCUGGGCGUCUAGCGGGAGGCCUCCGUCUUCACACCUGCACACAAGUCGGGUCGGGAGAGCUCGACCCGAACCCUCCGACGUUCAAGUCAGUGAAUAGUCGCAGGGGGUUUGUUGGUUGUUCUCCUCCUCCCCUUCCCGUUUAGAAUGCGAGGGUAUUUAUAGAGAAGCUUAUUGUGCCCACUUGCAGGGGGCAGGCUCGUACUCCUAGUAGCGUCUGACAGCGGUGUUGGCAUGACGUGAAGGAUUGGACCUAAGCAGGACGUUAAUGUGUCUCGGCCGGCGUUCUGGUCCGUUUGACCAGGUGCUGUCGGGUCGAUCGAGAUAUGAGGCGUCAUUUGGGGCAACCGACGUCAGCCCGAAUCUUGUUGUCAUUAUUAUCCUCAUCAUUAAUAUAUCUUUCGAAUUCAAUAAAAAUAUUAUUGAUUUGUAUAUAUAUUUUAAAAUGAAUAAAAAUAAAUUUAUUAUUUUAAUCUUUUAUGUAGAUGAUAUUGUGUUAGGUAGAUCACCGUUGCAAUGGUCGAAAGGCGAGAACGAUACCACCGAGGGAGGCCAACCAGGAUGAGGUCGGAGGUGCCGGCGGUGCGAGAGGGGUGGCGGAAGCCUGACGUUUUGGUUUGGGAUGAGGAUCCUCUCAAACAGUACUUGUAAAGGAAUUCUCCAAUUAUAAAUCUCAACCGUCCACUAGAAACAGUUACGGCUCAACCAUCCGUCCAAUCGGAUCCAACUAAUAAUUUGGAAAAAUCCGACCCGAUUGGCUUUGUGGCUAAAUAAAUCGAACCGCAUAUGUCGGGCCUGAGCGUAGAAGUUGGUCGAACCAAACAUAAACCGGACACGAGUAUUUGGUUCGUAAAUUGCCGAUCUGGUUAACAGAGACAGUACGAUCUUCUAGAAGCAGGUUCCGGGUCCAACACCGACGGCUUUGGAUGGCCGCUCCGAAGAACGCGUGGGACAAGAUCGUUGGAAUUCCAAGCCGCCGGCAGCGGUUAGCGCUUACCGAAUGGAUUGACCAUGAUUUGCGCUUACAUAACGGGGCUUCGCCGCUGGACGGGCAACCAUUCGCUACCACUGAGCCAUGGCUAUUCCGGAGGUCGUCCUGAGCUCCACCUCUCCCGCCACAGGCGCCCGGGCGAUCCCCGUGCUAGGCAUGGGCACCGGGUUGGACCGCUCCGCCCUCGAGCAGCGCCCCGCCACCAAGCACGCCAUCCUCCGCGCCAUCGAGCUCGGGUACCGCCACUUCGACACCGCCGCCAUCUACCAGUCCGAGGACGUUCUCGGCGAGGCCAUCGCCGAGGCCUUGCAGGCCGGCCUCAUCCACUCCCGUGCCGAGCUCUUCAUCACCUCCAAGAUCUGGUGCGCCGACGCUCACCGUGACCUGGUCGUCCCCGCCAUCCGCGAGUCUCUCAGGUGAAGAAGAAUAGCUUCAUGCUCCUCUUUUACUGCUUUCUUCUGCUUCGAGUUGAUGCAAAUUACGGGGAUUAACAUUGAUUUCCUGUCAUAAUUUUGUGAUUUGAUCUCU